Fopius arisanus is the source of this 357-nucleotide long non-coding RNA. RefSeq lists it as uncharacterized. NCBI's taxonomy places the organism in Eukaryota, Metazoa, Arthropoda, Insecta, Hymenoptera, Braconidae. The record is from RefSeq and is a predicted model, not a curated record. The transcript is spliced from 3 exons.
ACCUGCAAUCAACUCUAUCGUUGUCAUUCAAUGAUGAUGCGUAAUAAUGUGGUUGCGGGUCUGAAGAGUGGGGGAGUCAGCAAAACGGCGAUUUAUUUUCAACUUUAGUCUUCCUGAAGCUCUUGUGUGAGAGUAUUUGAUUUAUUGAGAGCUUUCGGUAUUGACGCAAUGGUGUGGUAAAGUGUCUACGGUUUCUACUGCUCAUGUCUAGGCGAGUGAAAUUAUUCUGGGAUGAAUUACGAUUCUGGAGCAACUGUCUUCAGUAGAAGGGACGAACAUUUCGACGGAGACGACUGACACAUGACAGGCUUUCAUUGUCAAGGGUUUUUGGGCGAGGGUUGUCAUCACAAAUGAUGU